UUUCCCUUUCAGUCUGGUAACAUGACGGCGGCGCCUCUUAUGCCAGACUCAACGCACCCCUGUCGCAGAAGGAAGAGCUACACUUUCUUCUGGUGCUCCUUGGGCGUCUAUGCUGAGGCCCUUCUGUUUCUGCUGUCUCAUUUAUCUGAUGCCUGUGAACUACCACGGCCAUUUGAAGCUAUGGAACUCAAGGGUACACCUAAACUCUUUUAUGCCGUUGGAGAGAAAAUAGAAUAUAAGUGUAAAAAAGGAUACCUGUAUCUGUCUCCAUACCUGAUGAUUGCUACCUGUGAGCCAAAUCAUACAUGGGUCCCUAUUUCAGAUGCUGGUUGUAUUAAAGUUCAAUGUACUAUGUUACAAGACCCUUCAUUUGGCAAAGUAUACUACAUAGAUGGCAGCUUUUCAUGGGGUGCUCGAGCUAAAUUUACUUGUAUGGAAGGUUAUUACGUAGUUGGUAUGUCAGUUCUACACUGUGUGCUUAAAGGUGAUGAUGAAGCAUACUGGAAUGGCUAUCCCCCACAUUGUGAAAAGAUUUAUUGUUUACCACCUCCAAAAAUAAAAAAUGGAACACAUACCCUUACUGAUAUAAAUGUAUUCAAAUACCAUGAAGCAGUAAGUUACAGUUGUGAUCCUACCCCAGGGCCAGAUAAGUUUUCCCUUGUUGGAACAAGCAUGAUAUUCUGUGCUGGCCAUAACACCUGGAGUAACAGCCCUCCGGAGUGUAAAGUGGUAAAAUGUCCAAAUCCAGUACUACAAAAUGGAAGACUGAUAUCAGGAGCUGGCGAAAUAUUUUCCUAUCAAUCAACAGUGAUGUUUGAGUGUUUGCAAGGAUUUUACAUGGAAGGCAGUAGCAUGGUGAUCUGUAGUGCUAAUAACUCUUGGGAGCCAUCUAUCCCAAAAUGUCUUAAAGUCACUUUUUAUUGACCACAAGGGAAAGAUGUGCAUUAGAAAGCAGCAGUAGCAGCCUGUACCAGUGGUUUACGGUAGGUCUGAUGGUGUGUGAAAAGUGGAGAGAUUAUGAUGCUGUUUGUAUGGUAUCUGACUUGUUAGGAUGCAUGUUUACCUUAAAUACAUUCUUUUUUUUUAUUAGAUAUUUUCUUCAUUUACAUUUCAAAUGCUAUCCCAAAAGUUCCUUAUACCCUCCCCCUGCUCCCCUACCCACUCACUCCCACUUCCUGGCCCAGGCGUUCUCCUGUACUGGGGGGAUAUAAAGUUUGCUAGACCAAGGGGCCUCUCUUCCCAAUGAUGGCCGACUAGGCCAUCAUCUGCUACAUAUGCAGCCAGAGACAUGAGCUCUGGGGGGUACUGAUUAGAUCAUAUUGUUGUUCCACCUAUAGGGUUGCAGACCCCUUCAGCUCCUUGGGUACUUUCUUUAGCUCCUCCAUUGGGGGCCCUGUGUUCCAUCCUAUAGAUGACUGUGAGCAUCCACUUCUGUAAAGCCUCACAGGAGACAGCUAUAUCAGGGUCCUUUCAGCAAAAUCUUGCUGGCUUAUGCAAUAGUGUAUAGGUUUGGCGGCUGAUUAUGGGAUGGACCCCCGGGUGGGGCAGUCUCUGGAUGGUCCAUCCUUUUGUCUUAGCUCCAAACUUUGUCACUGCAACUCCUUCCAUGGGUAUUUUAUUCCCUAUUCUAGGGAGGAAUGAAGUAUCCAUGCGUUGGUCUUCCUUCUUGAUUUUCUUGUGUUUUGGAAAUUGGAAUAUAUUCUUUUUAUAAUUUAUUUUUAGUUACUUUAUAGGAUUUGUAUUUGUAAAAUACAGAUACAAUAAACAUUCUUGUACUCUUGUCUGUGAAAUUAUAUAUGUAAAUCAAACAUUCAUAAGCAAAAUCUCUAGAAGUAUAAUUAUAAAGAACAGGAAGUAUGUUUAUUUUUACUUUUUGAAAAUUUUAAUAUUAGAAUUAAGUCCAUAAUUUUGUUUUAAUAUGUCAAAUGAAUUGAUAGACUCCAUUUAUUUUUCUAGGUCCUAGGCCUACUCAUCCUACCAAGCCUCCAGUUUAUAAUUAUACAGGAUAUCCUAGUCCCCGUGAAGGAAUAUUUAGCCAAGAAUUAGAUGCAUGGAUUAUUGCUUUGAUUGUUAUUACGUCAAUUGUUGGAGUUUUUAUACUUUGUCUCAUUGUGCUCAGGUGUUUUGAGCACAGGAAGAAAACAAAUGUAUCUGCAGCAAGAUGAAAAUCUCAUGUGUGGAAGUCAUUACUGUUCCAUUUUUGAAAACUGGAUCUUCAAGUCUGGCAAACGCAAAAUUAUAUAUUUGCAGGAGCUUCAUUUGUGCCCCUGCAGCUCACCAAGGGUUCUCAGUAUCCAACCAUGAGUGCCUGUGUACUAAGCAGAAUGUUCUGCCUGUGACAUGGUAUUUGCAGGAAGAAGGUCACAUUUCCAAGCAGACACCAAACCCUGUCCAGUUGGAGCUCUUAUCCCCAUGCCUCACACUUUCACUGCACAUAAUGGCUGUGAAUUAACCACAUCUGUGCCUUCCACACUCAGUCUGUCACCUGAAAUGCUUAAUAUUCUCUCUAAAUCCAUGUACCUCUAACGCCAAUGCAUGUCCUACCAGUCCUGUGAAGCUCUAACUCCUCAGGUUCUUUAUCUUUAUUGGUUAGCCUUAAGUUAGCCACAUUUAAGAGUCUGUAUACAUGUGCCUAAUAGGAGAUGUAAUUUUCAUAUCACUUGAACGUAUUCAUAGGUCUCAAAAAACAAAGUAAAACCUGUGUAACUAAUAGGACAUGAUGAUUUUUAUGUGAAAAUAAAAAUGUGACAGUCAACUCUCCAUAUAAAGAGGAUAACAGCUUAAAGAAAAUCAGAGUUUAAUUCUACCUAUUAAAAACCAAAUUUUCAAAGACUUGAACUUAAAGUUGUUCAUGGGUUGGGGAUGAAGCUCAGCAGAAAGCUUGCUCAGCAUGUACAAGACCCUGAAUUCAUUCCUUAGCACUGGGAAGAAAACAGUCAUUAACAGAUUAUUAACUGUUUGCUUAAAAGUAUUGAUGUCUGUCAAAAUAAGCAAUGAUAAAUUGUAGUUUUAAAAUAUGAUAUAGUAAUGUUUAUGAACAAUAUAAACACAGAAUGAAAAUUGCAUUGACUAAGCAUUUUUAGAAAAUUAACAUGAGACUCUAGCAUAUUUUUAAUUGGCAUAAAAUAUACAGAAAGGACUUUUACAGUAACCAACAGUAAAUUGUCUGAAUUAUGCUAGAAAGACUCAGGGGCAAAAAGAACCUGAAUAUUCAUCCUAAUUUUAAGGUUUAAGGGAAAUAAGCAAUUCUACCAGAGAGCUAACAUUUUAACCAAGACUGGAUUUUUCAUAGUUUAAUAAUUUGCCUAUUUAAGAACAGAAUUGAAUGAAUCCAAUACACAACUAUUCUUCCUUAUGCAUCAGUAUGCUUAGGCUCUCUAGGCUCAUCCUGAGAUUACCCUAAAAUGAGCUGUCAGCCUUUGAGAUCAUAGCACUGCUGCCCUCCUGUGGACUGUUUAAGUAUCUGACAGUCUUCUGCCUCUUCACUGUGACAUUGUCAUUAAUUUUAUUUUAGAUCAGGUAGAACAGUAGCUCUCUUCUGCUUUUGUGAAGGUAGUAAUUAAUUUUUUUGUUCCUCACUUCUUAAAUAUGGGGGAUAUAUAAUACUUGGUGGAACAAGUGAAUGCAUAAUUUCCCUUCUUGCUUGUUUACAUACAGCAGGUGAACAUAUUGCCACACAGACAAUGCUGAAAAACUAUCCACCUUGAUUCCCGACAUGACUGGACAAAACCCAGUAAAACCUGAGUACAGGUAUUAAGACCAAUGUGAGGAAUAGCUCUGAAAACUGUUGUACAUUGCAAUGCUGAACCACUAUAAACAGGAACUCUAGUGUUUGGAGUUCAUUGGGAAUUUAGGGCGUAUCUAAUGCUUAGUUGAACAUAUUAAGUAUGGUGCUUGGAAAAAAUUAAUCUGAUUACCUACCUCCACCUGCAAUGCCUACUCAAAAAAAAAUUAAAUCUGUACUCGAGGUGAGCUUCAACCAUGAAGAAUUCCUUCUGUAGGCUCCCAUAGCAAUCAAUAUACUUCUCAAACUGAUGUGCAGGUUAACCACAUUGUGAUUUUGUUAAAAUGUGAUGACUGAUUAGAGAAGACAUUGUGGCCACAUCGGCAAAAUGAGAUCCUGCUGGCCUUUGAAGCUUGAGGGAAAGAGCAAGGCAAAGAACACAGCCUGUUUACAGAAAGAAGCAAGACAACUACUUUUCCUUCAUAUUUCUGAAGCGUUUGUGUCUGAUAGUACCUUGAUUCUAAUCCAGUGAAAAUGUUAUAUUUCUGCUAUUCAGACCUGUUAAGAAUGUUGUGUGUGUUAAGAUAUCACAUUUGUACUAAUUUGUUACAGUACUGACUUGAAAUUUAUGCACUAACAUAUUAACUGGCAGCACAUAACUAUGACCAAAAUAGUAUGGUCUUUUCAGAAAUAGAGAAGUGGCUCUCAGCCUUGGCUCUACAAUAGACUCAUCUGAGCCCCAUUCUAAAGCCAGCUAAAAUAGUAUUUGCUUGCAGGAAUGGGACCUGAACCUGAGGAUCACUCUUUUGGUGACCAAAGCCACAGUAAUGUGGUACUGAGGUAGAAUGUGCCCCAGAUCAAACACAGAUUUAUCUCCGGCUUCCCUUAAAAGUAUGUUAAUAUCAAUGUGCUAUCUAUUCCUGAGACUAUAUGCCAGCUUCCAAACAGAAGGCCUAGACCAACUUCUUAAAGAUGCUAGGGACUAAACUUAAUUCAUUUGAUCUACUAAACUGGUUGCAGAUCUUUCUUCCCCCAGUUAACAAAAAUACACUGUAUUCACUUCUAAAAAGUCUGGUAAGGCUUAAUUUUAAAAAACUAAUGCUUUAACAAAAGUCUUUAUACCUGGGUUGACAGCAUGGUUUUAUAAAUCUGAUUCAGGAGGGUGCUGUUAAAAAAAAACCUACAUUACUAGCCAAUUAUGAAAAAUUAUCCCAGAGUGACAAUUUUAUGUAAAGGGCUAUAAGCAUCCAGAUAAAAAAUAACUGAGAGGUGUUCUGGUUUCAAUUUGCUUCUCAGGACAUCAGGAUAUGGCAAAGUUUAAGUAUUCAAUGAGAAUAUUAUGAUUUUUCUAAAUGGAAAUAAAUUUUAAAUCAUU
Molecule: RNA transcript, 5099 nt
Organism: Mus musculus (house mouse)
Lineage: Eukaryota; Metazoa; Chordata; Mammalia; Rodentia; Muridae
Gene: Cd46
Gene name: CD46 antigen, complement regulatory protein
Exons: 12
Source: RefSeq, marked validated